CAAUAUGCCCUUUACCUCAGUGACCUGUGGCUUGGGUGUCUCUGUUCCCUGGGAAAGAAAUGAGAGGAGGUAUAAGUCACAGAGGAGGCACAUGUUAAGGGCUGCUAAGUGUGGCAAAGGAGCAGCCCGUGGGGUGUUCCGCAGAAGCUGAGAUACGCUGUGUUGUGGGAAGACAAGGGCAGGCAAGUGGAGGGUGAGCUGCAGUGUGCUCUGCAGAGAGCCAGCACCGUGGGUUUGUGCUGCAGAGACGGCUCUGUGGCUGAAGACUGUGGAGACAUCAGUCACCUGAGUGAGCUGUGGAGAGGUACUGGUGACCAACGAUCUCUGAGGAAGAAGGAGACCCACAGCCUACUGUAAGUGACGGAGCUGGAAUAGAAGCAGUAACAUUCUUACACGAAGACAGAUCACUUCCAGAACUGGUGAAUCCAUGAUGAAAGAAGAGGAGAAGAAUCAGAGGACCUGAGAACAGCAGUCAUCUGAGCUUGUCUUCUGCCUUCUCUUGGUGCUCUGAGGAUAACUGUAAGCCUACUGAUUUAGAUAAUGAAAACUGAACUACACUGUGUAACUCAGAUUACUUAGCUGCACUUUGUUUAACUGCGUGUCUGUUUCCUUGGGUUGUUCCAAUGCUCUAGAAAAGCUUUCCCACACCACAUGGAGGGAGGGAGGUGCUGAUGACCCAAUAUCAGGAUGGUACAUUUAAGGGAUUCAACUUAGUGCUAUGGGUUCCACCCACCUGCUCCAUGUGGGAUAUGGACUUACUUUGAAGGGAGCCCAGAGGCUUAUUUCAAUGAAAGUGGGCAGCCUCAAAGUAGAGCACUGAAGGAUAAUUAAUGUAGACUACACAAAUUCCACCUACACAGAUGCCUCUCCUGCCCACAUCCACCCACCCACAUAUAGUAAAUGAUCCCCCUGAGUUCCAACUCCUUUAGAUUAAGAUAAUUGAACCAAAACACACUAGAACCUGGUUGUUUCGAGUUCUACUUGUGUUAAGAGUGAUUUCCCAAAAGGUAAUCAUGUAGUCUUUUACAUUUUGAACAAUGCUGUCUUGGGAGGUGGGGGAGUAUCCUCUGACAUGGGCUGUGUUACAGUCCUCACUUCACAGGUGCAGAAGCAGAUGUUUCCAUCAGUUCAGUAAUCUGUUCAAAGUCACAGGGUUAGGGAGUGCUGAAGAGCUAGCUGAAUUGGGAUUUUUCUGUGGCCUUUUCUGCUUUAUCUUUGCUGGAAAAGACAGAUCUUAUUGUUCAUGUGACCCACACUAUGGAAUGUUUGGUCCUCUUUACAUUUAUAUGCUCUAGGCCUCUUAUUGAACAAUUAAUAACUGUUCUGAACCACUGUGGAGAGACUUAUGUUAGGGCCUGCGAAAAGUCCCCAAAGACUACCAGUCACGAUGCAAUUAACAAGAGCGUUUACUAUACCACAUGCAUGUGGAGUUGCUCACCUGUUCAAAAUGGCAACAACCCUGAGAGAAGCUCUCAGGCUCCUUUUAAGAACAGCUGAAGGAAUAGAACCAGAACCAGAACGACAACAAAAUAACAGAAAAACCCAGAAUGUGUGAAGAAGCAAUGAUUAUAACAAGAGAAGAAUAAAAAGAUUGAAUCCUUCCUCCAAAACAGUAUAGACUUUCAGCUACAAAGCAUUUUCUAAUAUUAUGCUUUGUGAAGGAUGAAUGUAUAUAUGAUUAUAUGCAUAAAUGCAUUUACAUGUGUAAAUGGGAGGCACAACAUUGUCAUGAUUUGGAAAAUGACACAAAGUAAAAAAACAUUAAUGAAUCAUGUACUAUCCUAUAUGGCAGAAACCUGUUACAGUGGGGGAAAAGCAAUAAUGUUUCUUCUGUUUGUCAUGUUUUUAAAACUGCUUUAUUUAAAACUAAAUCACCAAUUUUAACACUGGCUGGAGAUUUGCUUUUCUCUUAAUGCCAUUUAAUAGGAGAAACUCAAUGUAGGUAUGGCUUGGACUCUUGUAGGCCAUCAUGAUGUGCAUAAAGUGGUGGCUGAUCUUGACUUUCAACUUGAGUUGAUAAAGAAAAUCUUACUGUGCUCUGAACAUCCCUGGGGACAAUGAGGGAAUAAAGAAAGGACAGACACAUGGAAAGCUAGGAUCUAGUGGGCUGUGCUCUCCCUGGUGAAGGGCACCAACAGCAACAGAACCCAGAAGCUCGGUGUAUUCAUUUACUUAUACCUUAUUAUGUGCAGCAGAACAAGGAGGCAGGCUAUGGUAUACAGGUGGGCAAGGGGACAGCUUAGCUUAUUUCAGUAGAUCCGUGUAGAGUGGAGUCUCAGGCUGUAAACAUCCUGAAGGAGGAAGAAGUAAUUGGUAGUUUCUGUGCACAACGGUCAGCCAUUGUAAACACUCAUACUUGGACCAGAGUAAGACUUUGCUAUCCUUCUGAGCCACAUCUGGGGAAGGCUCUGUCACUUCCAUAGGUCUGAGGCAUUGGGGUCCUUUGUAUGGUUAUGCCCAUGUCAAACAAUACACGUUAACUCAAGACUUCAUCCAUUCUCCACAGAAACCGAGGAGAUUAUAAAGUACACUUCAUGGUGAGUCUGAGGGUCUUUUUCAAAGGAGAGAAACUAUGGAGAAAGACUUGAGUUAACUUGCACCAUCCUACAGCCUGGAGACCCAAUUGGAAUAAAAGGAAGAGGAGGGAGUAGCCCGUGGGUGUUACGGUGUGAGGUACUCCAUCAACCCCCUUUUUCAACAACAGGCCCACACUGCUGUAACUAUGUGAAAAAUAAGUAUUUUCUCCCUGAGGUUAUUUUGCUCCAGUACUUUGUCACUGUCAUAGUCUGUCAAGUGCACAGUGCUCAGCAUUCAUUCCUAAUGGUGGAUAACAGGAAAACCAGGGCUCAGAACUACUAGAAUUCUGCUCCUCUUGUGUUGAAACUCUUGAACCAUAACUUAAGAUGCACACACAUACAAGAAUAGUAUUUAACAUUCUAGAGGUGCUCCAAGCCAUACAGCACCUCACAUGUGCCAUUAUGUUGAAAGGACACAAUACAUUCAAUUUUACAGUUUAUUAAUCUAUUUCACCUAAACAAAAAUUAUCAUUUGAAUAGUACCAAGUGUUUCGGGUAUUUUAUUAAAAAAAAUGUGGCAAGAAUGGUUAACAUAAGAUCUAUUCUUUUUAAAAUAUAUAUAUUUUAAAUUUAGCAUAGAAGGUAUUAGAUAGAUAUCAUUAUGCCAUUUUCAAACAAUUUGCUUUAGUGAUUUUCUUUCUCCCGGAGCUCUCCAAAAUCCCUGCUUCCUUAAUCCCUUCUUGUAAGCCCCCCCCCAUUUCUCCUGUGUUCCAUGUGCCCCUUUGUCUACCCCGUCUUUCUUCAUCACCUGUAUUUAUCCUCUUUUGAUCUCAUUUCUAGUCUUUUAGGCUUUACACACACACACACACACACACACACACACACACACACACACGCGCGUAUACAUAACAGGUUAAGAUCUGCACAUAAGAGACAAUUUGUGGUUUUGGUUUUCUGUGUUUGGGUUACUUUUGCUUAAUAUGUUUUCCAGAUCUAUCCAGUUCCUGAAAUUUUCAUAAUUUUAUUUUUCUUUGCAGCUGAAUACAGUUCCAUUGUGUCAAUGUAUCACAUGUUCAUUAUCCAUAUGUUGAUGAACAAGAGGUUCCUGUUGGCUGUUGGACGUGUAGGACUUCACACUCCAAUGCCCCUGCCCCCCCUCCAGCACAGACUUCUCCUUACAAGUCACUCUUGUGUUUCAGUUUGACUGCUGUAGUUCCCGUCUACCCUGCCCUUUGAAGCAUUCCCUCAGUAUGGCACAGAAAUCCACAAAUAAUUCACAGUUUCUUAGUCCCAGCCCAAGUGUCUGGAUGCCUUAGCCCAGCACUACAGGCUCCUGCUUGCUUAAGAUCCAGCAAGAGGAAGGACCAGAUGCCUCACUACUUUUCCCAGGUCGGAUGAUCCCCUGGUGACCCCCAAACUUGCUGAAUGUGGUUUAGAAAGAAGGGAAAUGUAUCUUAUGAAACAGGAUUCAUGCUCACAAACCUUUGGAGCACAUGACUCCAGGGAGGAGAGGCCUGGCUUUGUCCUUUGUCUGCAGGGGCUGGGUCCUUGAGCAUGGACAAAUCUUGCUUCACUUCUUUGGAUAUCACUUGGAAGACAACCCAGGUGAGCUGUCAUUAUCUCCUCAUGCAAGAUGGGAACAGCAUCAGCUCUGUGGGCUGGAGGAAUGAAAUAACCUCAUCUAGAUGUGAUGCUCAGGACAAAUCCAGGCACGCAGUGAUCACUCCCUGGUGUUUGGAUGCUCUCAGUUUCUGUGACUCCUUCUCAAUAGAAUGCCCUCUCCAACAGCUCACAUGGAUUCCUGGGGACCUCUGAGCUGGCUAGCUACAUGAGCUGCUCUUUCUUUCCAUCUGCAUUGUGAAAUUUGGCCAUCAUGGAAUUUUUAAUUAGAAGAGCAAGGGGUCACUUACUGAAUGGGUGUCCCUGGAUUUGUACUGUCUAGGCCCCAGAGGUUUGACAGUCUGUGGCAAAUUGAUUUAACAGAUGUGUAUUGAUGGCAGUUUCUCAGUGAGCACUGUCCUCAAUUAAUUAAUCACCAGGCAAUUUAAUCUAAUUGAAUGCUACUGCCACACACAGGAAAGUUUUGUUUAUAAUCCUUGAAUCAUCCCAGUUUAAAUUAAGUCAUCAAAAUGCUCUGUUCCUAACCAUUUUUCCAGCUGAAUGUGCCUAAAAGGACAUGGUGCUCUGCAGGGCGUCUUUCUGAUAUGAGUUUGUGUUUCUUUAAUGUCCUCAGGUUAAUCAUUUUCAGUCACUGUUUGAACUCCUUCCUGCCAUUGCCUUGAAAAGCAUUUGCAGUUCAUUUGCAGGCUGCUGAGGGAAGCUGAUGAGGUGGACAUAAAAAAUGGGAGCGAAGAUCAUGAGGUCCUUGUUGAGGAUUAGCAAACAAUGUUGCUCAGUGUUGUUGAUCAACAGGUCACCAGUGAAAGGAGCAGUGUCAGGGCCGGAGGAGUCUCCUGUCAGCUGUUUAGGAGACAGGAGUUCCAGGAAUGUACGGGAACAAGCAGAUGGUGCAAUCCCGGGUAGACAAGUUGUUGACCCAAGGGCUCCUUUGUCUCGUGGAUCUCUGAGAAACAACCAACUUCAUUAGCUCUGCCCUCCCCAGAAAGCCCUAAAUGUGUGUGCAAACACAGAAUGCAGCUCUGCAGAUAGCCUGAGCGUCAGAGGCACCAUUAGCACACUAAGCCCAAAUAGCUUGUCCCCUUCCUUCACAAUGUAGAGUCACCUCCUGCCUUGGAGUAGGGCAAGUGGGUUUUGGUCAAGCACUAUGAGGUGUUUGGGGUAGGGAGGCAGCUUUUGAGGAGGAGAGAUUCUUCAGAGAUCCACGUAAGGCUUGAAUCAGAAGCCAAGGUCACCGCAGCUGACACUGCAGAUUUGUGUUCCUUGAGCAGACUGAGCUCCCCUGGAAGUUCCUGGCUGCAGCAGAGUGAACCUUGGCAUGGAUUAGCUAUCCUCACUUCCAGAAGUGUGCAGUCUAGCCUGGGAUUGCACUGUCUUUUUGUCUUUAAAAAACUCUCCUUCGGAGCUCUUUCUGUAAUGGAAGCACAAAGUAUAUGCUUUGUUCUCUCUGGCCAUCUGCAAGGAUCUGUCCAACACCCAUGGGAACAAAUGGCUUGAUGUUUGGCCAGGUAGAGAGCUGGAUGUCUAGGAAGAGAGUGAGGUAAAAUGAAAGGGGUACAGACCUGGGUGAUCAGGUACCAAGCUUGCAUUCCUCCCCUGCUCCAGCCUCUGGACCACUUGAGCUACUUGGCCCAUAAGGUAGUGGGCACCGGCAGGUUAGGCAUUAAGUUCUCUGGAGGUCAUUUUUAUGCUCUAAAGGCAUGAGAGGAUAAGGGUUGGGUCUCUUGCUGAUACUUCACUGUUGGAGAAUAUUAUUUUAAGGUGUGCUACUUUUGUUUAUGCUACAUUUGUUUAACUUUGUGAAGCUG
Peromyscus leucopus (white-footed mouse) is the source of this 5941-nucleotide long non-coding RNA. RefSeq lists it as uncharacterized. Lineage: Eukaryota; Metazoa; Chordata; Mammalia; Rodentia; Cricetidae. The record is from RefSeq and is a predicted model, not a curated record. The transcript has 3 exons.